This 371-nucleotide ribosomal RNA is filed under the name uncultured bacterium. RNAcentral describes it as "bacterial SSU rRNA". It matches the Rfam family "Bacterial small subunit ribosomal RNA", at positions 527 to 896 of the family's 1533-position model. The record is from RNAcentral.
AGAGGGGGCAAGCGUUGUUCGGAAUUACUGGGCGUAAAGGGCGCGUAGGCGGCCUGUUAAGUCGAACGUGAAAUCCCCGGGCUCAACCCGGGAACUGCGUCCGAUACUGGCAGGCUUGAAUUCGGGAGAGGGAUGCGGAAUUCCAGGUGUAGCGGUGAAAUGCGUAGAUAUCUGGAGGAACACCGGUGGCGAAGGCGGCAUCCUGGACCGAGAUUGACGCUGAGGCGCGAAAGCCAGGGGAGCAAACGGGAUUAGAUACCCCGGUAGUCCUGGCCCUAAACGAUGAAUGCUUGGUGUGGCGGGUAUCGAUCCCUGCCGUGCCGAAGCUAACGCAUUAAGCAUUCCGCCUGGGGAGUACGGUCGCAAGGCUG